This 466-nucleotide ribosomal RNA is filed under the name Vreelandella stevensii. RNAcentral's name for it is "partial 16S ribosomal RNA". It matches the Rfam family "Bacterial small subunit ribosomal RNA", at positions 338 to 795 of the family's 1533-position model. The record is from RNAcentral. Lineage: Bacteria; Pseudomonadati; Pseudomonadota; Gammaproteobacteria; Oceanospirillales; Halomonadaceae.
CCUACGGGUGGCAGCAGUGGGGAAUAUUGGACAAUGGGCGAAAGCCUGAUCCAGCCAUGCCGCGUGUGUGAAGAAGGCCUUCGGGUUGUAAAGCACUUUCAGUGGGGAAGAAAGCCUUGGGGCUAAUACCCUCGAGGAAGGACAUCACCCACAGAAGAAGCACCGGCUAACUCCGUGCCAGCAGCCGCGGUAAUACGGAGGGUGCGAGGCGUUAAUCGGAAUUACUGGGCGUAAAGCGCGCGUAGGCGGUCUGAUAAGCCGGUUGUGAAAGCCCCGGGCUCAACCUGGGAACGGCAUCCGGAACUGUCAGGCUAGAGUGAAGGAGAGGAAGGUAGAAUUCCCGGUGUAGCAGUGAAAUGCGUAGAGAUCGGGAGGAAUACCAGUGGCGAAGGCGGCCUUCUGGACUGACACUGACGCUGAGGUGCGAAAGCGUGGGUAGCAAACAGGAUUAGAUACCCGAGUAGUC